UACGGAGGGUGCAAGCGUUAUCCGGAUUCACUGGGUUUAAAGGGUGCGUAGGUGGGCAAGUAAGUCAGUGGUGAAAUCUCCGGGCUUAACCCGGAAACUGCCAUUGAUACUAUUUGUCUUGAAUACUGUGGAGGUCAGCGGAAUAUGUCAUGUAGCGGUGAAAUGCGUAGAGAUGGGGGAGAACACUCGUGGCGAAGGCGGCCAGCUAGACCAGUUCUGACACUGAGGCGCGACAGCGUGGGGAGCAAACAGG
Molecule: ribosomal RNA, 253 nt
Filed under: uncultured bacterium
Lineage: Bacteria
Description: partial 16S ribosomal RNA
Rfam family: Bacterial small subunit ribosomal RNA
Source: RNAcentral